Molecule: unclassified non-coding RNA, 353 nt
Filed under: Spizellomyces sp.
Lineage: Eukaryota; Fungi; Chytridiomycota; Chytridiomycetes; Spizellomycetales; Spizellomycetaceae
Also listed under: 1 other name
Description: partial internal transcribed spacer region
Rfam family: Eukaryotic small subunit ribosomal RNA (bases 1-46)
Source: RNAcentral
AAGUCGUAACAAGGUAACCGUAGGUGAACCUGCGGUUGGAUCAUUAAAAAGAUUCACGCUGUAUUUCCUUUCGGGAUGCAGCUCUCACCUAAAAAGUGAGUCAACAUCAUGUGAACUGUUCUGUCUCUGGCGGUGGGAUGGCUUCAAGACCAUCUGUCAGCAUUCAACAUAAUAUCAUUAUCUUGAUUUGCCGUGGACAAGCCGCCAACGGUGUGAAAGGGGAGUUGGUUGACGCCGUCAUGGCUUCGUCUAGAACUCUUCCCUCUUACAAACUUUUGCCUUCAUAUCAUGUCUGACAUAUUUGUAUCUAAAAUGUACAAAAACAACUUUUGGCAACGGAUCUCUUGGCUCCC